AGGCGCGUAGCUCAGGGGUAGAGCGCUACCUUGACACGGUAGAGGUCGUUGGUUCAAAGCCAAUCGCGCCUA
Molecule: transfer RNA, 72 nt
Filed under: Myxococcota bacterium
Lineage: Bacteria; Pseudomonadati; Myxococcota
Also listed under: 1 other name
Description: tRNA-Val
Rfam family: tRNA
About the family: Transfer RNA (tRNA) molecules are approximately 80 nucleotides in length. Their secondary structure includes four short double-helical elements and three loops (D, anti-codon, and T loops).
Source: RNAcentral